ACACAUGCAAGUCGAGGGACAGCAUGUUGGUUGCUUGCAACCAAUGAUGGCGACCGGCGCACGGGUGAGUAACGCGUAUCCAACCUACCCUUGUCCAUCGGAUAACCCGUCGAAAGGCGGCCUAACACGAUAUGCGGUUCACAGCAGGCAUCUAAGGUGAACGAAAUGUGAAGGAGAAGGAUGGGGAUGCGUCUGAUUAGCUUGUUGGCGGGGUAACGGCCCACCAAGGCUACGAUCAGUAGGGGUUCUGAGAGGAAGGUCCCCCACAUUGGAACUGAGACACGGUCCAAACUCCUACGGGAGGCAGCAGUGAGGAAUAUUGGUCAAUGGACGAGAGUCUGAACCAGCCAAGUAGCGUGCAGGAUGACGGCCCUAUGGGUUGUAAACUGCUUUUAUAGGGGGAUAAAGUGUGCCACGUGUGGCAUAUUGCAGGUACCCUACGAAUAAGGACCGGCUAAUUCCGUGCCAGCAGCCGCGGUAAUACGGAAGGUCCAGGCGUUAUCCGGAUUUAUUGGGUUUAAAGGGAGCGUAGGCCGUUUGGUAAGCGUGUUGUGAAAUGUCGGGGCUCAACCUGGGCAUUGCAGCGCGAACUGCCAGACUUGAGUGCGCAGGAAGUAGGCGGAAUUCGUCGUGUAGCGGUGAAAUGCUUAGAUAUGACGAAGAACUCCGAUUGCGAAGGCAGCCUGCUGUAGCGCAACUGACGCUGAA
This 708-nucleotide ribosomal RNA is filed under the name uncultured bacterium. Its description in RNAcentral is "bacterial SSU rRNA". It matches the Rfam family "Bacterial small subunit ribosomal RNA", at positions 51 to 750 of the family's 1533-position model. The record is from RNAcentral.